Molecule: long non-coding RNA, 479 nt
Organism: Carassius auratus (goldfish)
Lineage: Eukaryota; Metazoa; Chordata; Actinopteri; Cypriniformes; Cyprinidae
Exons: 3
Source: RefSeq, a predicted model, not a curated record
GAAGUGCUCCAAGAUUUUUUGGUAAACAGGUGCAGUGACUUUCAAAAAACACAAUGGACCCACACCAGCAGAAAACAUUGCACCCAAAUCAUCACAGACUGUGGAAACUUAACUCUGGACUUCAAGCAACAUGGGCUAUGAGCUUCUCCACCCUUCCUCCAGACUCUAGGACCUUAGUUUCCAAAUGAAAUACAAAACUUGCUCUCAUCCGAAAAGAGUACUUUUGGAAAUUGGACCAAUGGCAAAAAUCCAGUUCUUCUUCUCUUAGUCCAGUCAGUAAAGAGGCUAAUCAGAUGCACCAGUGCAGCUCCAUAAGGACAAAAUGGAUGUACAAAAAAAUGAAGAUGGGAAUUCUUCUUCAGGAUACAGUUCAAUGCAACGGGAUAGAUCAGAUUCAGCAGAACCCAGCUGUGUGUCCAUGAAGAGUGACUGCUCUAUGGAUCCUCCUCCCAAAUUAAAGUGUGGAGACAUGCAGCUGA